GCCUUAUUAGCUUAGUUGGUAGAGCACCCGCUUAGUAAGCGGGAGGUCGUCGGUUCAACUCCGGCAGAAUGCU
Non-coding RNA from Perkinsus marinus ATCC 50983, 73 nucleotides. The record is from Rfam. NCBI's taxonomy places the organism in Eukaryota, Perkinsozoa, Perkinsida, Perkinsidae.